Molecule: small RNA, 77 nt
Filed under: Xanthomonas dyei
Lineage: Bacteria; Pseudomonadati; Pseudomonadota; Gammaproteobacteria; Lysobacterales; Lysobacteraceae
Description: sX9 sRNA
Rfam family: Xanthomonas sRNA sX9
Source: RNAcentral
AUGGUCCACUCGUCCACGCCGGUUCUGAGCGCGCCGUCCACACCCACCUGACGACUGCUCGCUACGUUUUAUUAGCA